Molecule: ribosomal RNA, 240 nt
Filed under: uncultured bacterium
Lineage: Bacteria
Description: partial 16S ribosomal RNA
Rfam family: Bacterial small subunit ribosomal RNA
Source: RNAcentral
GAUCUGGCUCAGGAUGAACGCUGGCGGCAUGCCUAAGACAUGCAAGUCGAACGAGAUGGCCCAGUGAAGGUUGAGUGCUUGCACAAGACUGAAUCUGGAUUCCCAUCUAGUGGCAGACGGGGUGAGUAACACGUGGGUGACCUACCUUUUCGUUGGGGAUAACAGUUGGAAACGAUUGCUAAUACCGAAUAAAAUGUAAGAGUCAAUUUUACAUUGAAAGGAGCCUUUAAAGCUUCGCGA